AUGAUCAUUUCAGCAGCACAUAUACUAAAAUUGGAAUGAUAAAGGGAGAUUAGCAUGGCUCCUACAAAGGAAUAACAGGCAAACUCAUCAAGCGUUCCAUAUUUUU
Molecule: small nuclear RNA, 106 nt
Organism: Callithrix jacchus (white-tufted-ear marmoset)
Lineage: Eukaryota; Metazoa; Chordata; Mammalia; Primates; Cebidae
Source: Ensembl